GGAGCGAUGGCUUCAUGUUUAAAGCGUUUGACUUUUAGCCAAAAGGUGGGAGGCUUACAGACCCCGCUCCA
Molecule: non-coding RNA, 71 nt
Organism: Schistosoma mansoni
Lineage: Eukaryota; Metazoa; Platyhelminthes; Trematoda; Strigeidida; Schistosomatidae
Source: Rfam